RNAcentral lists this ribosomal RNA (509 nucleotides) under uncultured bacterium. RNAcentral's name for it is "bacterial SSU rRNA". It matches the Rfam family "Bacterial small subunit ribosomal RNA", at positions 28 to 526 of the family's 1533-position model. The record is from RNAcentral.
GAUGAACGCUAGCUACAGGCUUAACACAUGCAAGUCGAGGGGCAGCAGGACGAUAGCUUGCUAUUGUUGCUGGCGACCGGCGCACGGGUGAGUAACGCGUAUCCAACCUUCCCCUUAGUAGGGAAUAGCCCGGUGAAAAUCGGAUUAAUGCCCUAUGUUCUACACAGCGGACAUCUAACGUGAAGCAAAGAUUCAUCGCUAAGGGAUGGGGAUGCGUCUGAUUAGGUAGACGGCGGGGUAACGGCCCACCGUGCCAACGAUCAGUAGGGGUUCUGAGAGGAAGGUCCCCCACAUUGGAACUGAGACACGGUCCAAACUCCUACGGGAGGCAGCAGUGAGGAAUAUUGGUCAAUGGUCGAGAGACUGAACCAGCCAAGUAGCGUGCAGGAUGACGGCCCUAUGGGUUGUAAACUGCUUUUAUCGGGGGAUAAAGGACACUACGUGUAGUGUUUUGCAGGCAUCCCGUGAAUAAGGACCGGCUAAUUCCGUGCCAGCCGCCGCCGUAAGAC